This 253-nucleotide ribosomal RNA is filed under the name uncultured bacterium. Its description in RNAcentral is "partial 16S ribosomal RNA". It matches the Rfam family "Bacterial small subunit ribosomal RNA", at positions 524 to 776 of the family's 1533-position model. The record is from RNAcentral.
UACGGAGGGGGCUAGCGUUGUUCGGAAUUACUGGGCGUAAAGGGCGUGUAGGCGGCGCGGUAAGUCAGGCGUGAAAGCCCCGGGCUCAACCUGGGAAUUGCGCUUGUUACUGCCGUGCUUGAGUCCGGGAGAGGAUAGCGGAAUUCCCAGUGUAGAGGUGGAAUUCGUAGAUAUUGGGAAGAACACCAGUGGCGAAGGCGACUGUCUGGACCGGUACUGACGCUGAGGCGCGAAAGCGUGGGGAGCAAACAGG